AAACUUGAGUGCAGAAGAGGACAGUGGAACUCCAUGUGUAGCGGUGAAAUGCGUAGAUAUAUGGAAGAACACCAGUGGCGAAGGCGGCUGUCUGGUCUGUAACUGACGCUGAGGCUCGAAAGCAUGGGUAGCGAACAGGAUUAGAUACCCUGGUAGUCCAUGCCGUAAACGAUGAAUGCUAGGUGUUGGAGGGUUUCCGCCCUUCAGUGCCGCAGCUAACGCAUUAAGCAUUCCGCCUGGGGAGUACGACCGCAAGGUUGAAACUCAAAGGAAUUGACGGGGGCCCGCACAAGCGGUGGAGCAUGUGGUUUAAUUCGAAGCAACGCGAAGAACCUUACCAGGUCUUGACAUCUUUUGAUCACCUGAGAGAUCAGGUUUCCCCUUCGGGGGCAAAAUGACAGGUGGUGCAUGGUUGUCGUCAGCUCGUGUCGUGAGAUGUUGGGUUAAGUCCCGCAACGAGCGCAACCCUUAUGACUAGUUGCCAGCAUUUAGUUGGGCACUCUAGUAAGACUGCCGGUGACAAACCGGAGGAAGGUGGGGAUGACGUCAAAUCAUCAUGCCCCUUAUGACCUGGGCUACACACGUGCUACAAUGGAUGGUACAACGAGUUGCGAGACCGCGAGGUCAAGCUAAUCUCUUAAAGCCAUUCUCAGUUCGGACUGUAGGCUGCAACUCGCCUACACGAAGUCGGAAUCGCUAGUAAUCGCGGAUCAGCACGCCGCGGUGAAUACGUUCCCGGGCCUUGUACACACCGCCCGUCACACCAUGAGAGUUU
RNAcentral lists this ribosomal RNA (775 nucleotides) under Lacticaseibacillus casei. RNAcentral describes it as "bacterial SSU rRNA". It matches the Rfam family "Bacterial small subunit ribosomal RNA", at positions 638 to 1413 of the family's 1533-position model. The record is from RNAcentral. RNAcentral also lists the same sequence under 3 other names. Lineage: Bacteria; Bacillati; Bacillota; Bacilli; Lactobacillales; Lactobacillaceae.